Molecule: ribosomal RNA, 253 nt
Filed under: uncultured bacterium
Lineage: Bacteria
Description: partial 16S ribosomal RNA
Rfam family: Bacterial small subunit ribosomal RNA
Source: RNAcentral
UACGUAGGGACCGAGCGUUGUCCGGAAUCAUUGGGCGUAAAGAGCGUGUAGGCGGCCACUUAAGUCCUGCGUGAAAUCUUGCGGCUCAACCGCAAGCGGUCGUGGGAAACUGGGUGGCUAGAGUGCGGGAGAGGAGAGUGGAAUUCCUGGUGUAGCGGUGGAAUGCGCAGAUAUCAGGAGGAACACCUAUUGCGAAGGCAGCUCGCUGGGACGUAACUGACGCUGAGACGCGAAAGCGUGGGGAGCAAACAGG